GGGGCUGUGGCGCAGUGGUAGCGCGUUCGCUUUGCAUUCUCAUCUCUUGAGCAUCCAAAGCUGCGAAAGGUCUAGGGUUCGAUCCCCUACUGCUCCA
Non-coding RNA from Geopyxis carbonaria, 97 nucleotides. The record is from the annotation of a GenBank genome assembly. NCBI's taxonomy places the organism in Eukaryota, Fungi, Ascomycota, Pezizomycetes, Pezizales, Tarzettaceae.